This 253-nucleotide ribosomal RNA is filed under the name uncultured prokaryote. RNAcentral describes it as "partial 16S ribosomal RNA". It matches the Rfam family "Bacterial small subunit ribosomal RNA", at positions 524 to 776 of the family's 1533-position model. The record is from RNAcentral.
UACGUAGGGUGCGAGCGUUGCCCGGAUUUAUUGGGCGUAAAGGGCGCGCAGGCGGCGCCGCAAGUCGUGCGUGAAAUCUCCCGGCUCAACUGGGAGGGGUCGUGCGAGACUGCGGCGCUGGAGCGAGGUAGGGGGAAGCGGAAUUCCCGGUGUAGUGGUGGAAUGCGUAGAUAUCGGGAGGAACACCAGUGGCGAAGGCGGCUUCCUGGACCUGUGCUGACGCUGAGGCGCGAAAGCGUGGGGAGCGAUCCGG